UUUCGGUAGCUCGGGCGGUAGCUAGUUUAGUUGGUUUAGUGCUCAAGUUGUCAAAUUUUUAACCUCACUUUCUUACGAAUGAAAUGCAAUAAAAAAAUGUUUUUUUCGAAUGCUUUGGAAGCUGUUUCUGGUGGUAGCUCCACUCAGUGUCCCAAAGUGAUGUAAAAAAAGAAGUUCUGAGUGUAUACAUAACAAUCAAAUCUAAGGAUACUCUUUGAAAAAAAGGUGGAAACAGUAUUCAGAAUGGCCCCCGAAGGGCGAAUCAGUUAUUACAGGAAAGCAGGAAAAUAGUAAAAAUAAUGAAUAAGAAUUUUGCAAAAUGCUCUUAUAGAAAACUUGUACUUUAUGUUUUAUUACGUGGUAAACUUAACAACACACGUUAACACGCCCUUUAUAAACGAUUUAACACCCUUUUUCAUGAAAAUGUUUGAGAAGUUCAUUUUUGCCCUAUAUACAUUUCAAUAAAUCUCACUGAAGUUUUGUCGUUGACUCAAGGUAGAUUUGUCUGCCCAUAAUAAACAUGUUCUGUAAUAAUUAUAAACGCUCUAAAAGAACAGAAACGGAUACAAAAUCCAUAAAUGUGAAAAUUUUUACGUUUCAGAUAAUAACAUAACCCUACUUUUGAAACCGAAUUUUCUGGAGACUUGAAAUUAACAUAAUUUGUGGCAAUACCACAAAUUUUCGCAGCAAAAUGUCACAUCACCGGCUCGUCUGCACAAAGGAAAGGGAGAAAAUAGUGAAAAUAAUGAAUAAGAAUUUUGCAAAAUGCUUUUAUAGAAUAGAAAAGUUGUUGUACUUUAUGUUUUAUUAAGUGGUAAACUUAACAACACACGUUAACACGCCCUUUAUAAACGAUUAUGAUAAUAAACACCCUUUUUCAUGAAAAGGUUGACACGAGAAGUUAAUUUUUCAAUAAAUCUCACUGAAGUUUAUGUCGUUGACUAAAGGUAGAUUUGUCUGCCCUUAAACAUAUUCAAUAAUAAUUAAUAACGCUCUAAAAGUACAGAAAAGCACACAAAAUCCAUUAAAGUUACAAUUUAACAAUUCAGAAGAGAGCACAAUAACCCUAACCCUACUUUCUGAACAUUUGUCUCUAUCUGGCAAUAACACAUAAUAAAGGUAGAGAUUUCGGCCCUAAAUAUACUAUCAUAACGCUCUGAAAGGGCAGAUACAUUGCCAAUAAUUCAUAAAAGUGUAAAUUUUACCAUUUCCAGGUAACAACAUAACCCACUUUAAGAACCUACCGAAUUUUUAACAAAACAAACCUAACAAACAAUUUGUGGCAAAACGCAUUGCGAUACCACUCAUUUUCGCACCAAAAUUUCACAUUGGAAGUUUCUGUUUAAAUAAAAACAUUCAUUUUUGUUUUUCCAUUAACUGCAUGCGAAAUUUUUAUAAUUUUAGAACUUUAUAGGCAAAUAGAUUUGUCAUAAUUAAUUUUUCUAGAUCAAUGCUGUUCUAUUUUGAAUAAUUCAGUGUAUGAAUGUCUCUAAAUUUGACGGAUUGUGCCAGUGAAUAUUUCUGGUGACGAACUGUUUUAGACGUGCGCUGACGUCACAUCCGUGACGUGUCCCGAGGUUAGGUGUGCGGCGCAGGCGGCGAGGGCGGAGCAGUCGACAGCGAGCAGUGGCACGGGUCACAUCGGGAGCUCGAGAGGCGGUUUAUUUAAAUUAUUGUACCGUUUCGUUUAAUUUAUUCAGUUUAUUGCUUGCCGUUGUCGCGAACGGACGUGUGCUCAAGCAAAUAUAAAUUUUCGGGUUUAAAUUUUAAAUUCGGUGAUCGCGGUUAGUGUAGUGUGUGUUAGUGCCAAUGGAAUGGACUUUAAGGAGGAAACAAUCCGGAUUAAAGGUAGGUCCGUUUAAGAAGAAGAUGGCAUCGGAACAGAAAACAAAGGUCAGUGCAUUUUUUUUUCAUUUGUGGUUAAUUUA
This is a long non-coding RNA of Tribolium castaneum (red flour beetle), 1928 nucleotides long. RefSeq lists it as uncharacterized. The record is from RefSeq and is a predicted model, not a curated record. The transcript has 2 exons. Lineage: Eukaryota; Metazoa; Arthropoda; Insecta; Coleoptera; Tenebrionidae.